GAAUUACUUUAUUGAAACUUCGGUCGAUAUAAUUUAAUUCUAGUGGCGGACGGGUGAGUAACGCGUGGGUAACCUGCCUUAUACAGGGGGAUAACAGUCAGAAAUGGCUGCUAAUACCGCAUAAGCGCACAGAGCUGCAUGGCUCAGUGUGAAAAACUCCGGUGGUAUAAGAUGGACCCGCGUUGGAUUAGCUGGUUGGUGGGGUAACGGCCCACCAAGGCGACGAUCCAUAGCCGGCCUGAGAGGGUGAACGGCCACAUUGGGACUGAGACACGGCCCAGACUCCUACGGGAGGCAGCAGUGGGGAAUAUUGCACAAUGGGGGAAACCCUGAUGCAGCGACGCCGCGUGAAGGAAGAAGUAUCUCGGUAUGUAAACUUCUAUCAGCAGGGAAGAUAGUGACGGUACCUGACUAAGAAGCCCCGGCUAACUACGUGCCAGCAGCCGCGGUAAUACGUAGGGGGCAAGCGUUAUCCGGAUUUACUGGGUGUAAAGGGAGCGUAGACGGUGUGGCAAGUCUGAUGUGAAAGGCAUGGGCUCAACCUGUGGACUGCAUUGGAAACUGUCAUACUUGAGUGCCGGAGGGGUAAGCGGAAUUCCUAGUGUAGCGGUGAAAUGCGUAGAUAUUAGGAGGAACACCAGUGGCGAAGGCGGCUUACUGGACGGUAACUGACGUUGAGGCU
Molecule: ribosomal RNA, 682 nt
Filed under: uncultured Lachnospiraceae bacterium
Lineage: Bacteria; Bacillati; Bacillota; Clostridia; Lachnospirales; Lachnospiraceae
Description: bacterial SSU rRNA
Rfam family: Bacterial small subunit ribosomal RNA
Source: RNAcentral